Molecule: long non-coding RNA, 290 nt
Filed under: Fukomys damarensis (Damara mole-rat)
Lineage: Eukaryota; Metazoa; Chordata; Mammalia; Rodentia; Bathyergidae
Description: lncRNA (ENSFDAG00000031578.1)
Source: RNAcentral
GAGACCAGCAUGGCCAUUACAUGUUUAUUAAAAAGAUAACAUCAUUUCAUUUUCCCUUGUCAGGUAAUUUUACAUCUAACACGAAGAGGGUGUCUGAACGAUAACAAACAGCUGGAGAAGAGAAAAAUGGCCAAGUCACUCCACAGUGGAGCAUCCUAAUGACAAAGCCGAUCUCCAAAACAGAUUGUAGACUUUGCUUGAGAAGAUGCUGCUGCACUCAACUGAAUGAUUUUCUUUCUUUGUUUCAUUUCAUUCAAAGGUAACCCAGACGGACUCCUCCAACCAUGGCC